This is a long non-coding RNA of Spinacia oleracea (spinach), 779 nucleotides long. RefSeq lists it as uncharacterized. The transcript is spliced from 3 exons. Lineage: Eukaryota; Viridiplantae; Streptophyta; Magnoliopsida; Caryophyllales; Amaranthaceae. The record is from RefSeq and is a predicted model, not a curated record.
CUCUUGCUCUCUCUUGAACAUUUUCAAUUCAAUUUUUAAGUUGGUUCUCAAUAUUUUCAUCAAUUUGAUUUAUAGCUAGCUUUUAGUUUUUGGGUACCUCUGACUUUGUUAUUAUUUGAUUGAAUUUGGCUGUAGGAGUGAGAUUAGUAGCUGAACAUUUUAUGUCUGAUGAGUUAUUUGCUGGUUGGUGGUAAUUGCUGAAAGGCUGAAGUGUAGUCUUAUAUGCACGCAAAGGCUGAAGGUGUAACAACAAUCAAAGGCUUAAGUGUUGUACCAGCAGGUCGCUUAUGGCAACAUCGACAACAUCAAAGCUCUUCACGGAGAAGGUGUUGGACUUGAGAUUCUUCCGGAAUGUCAGCUGAAGAUCCUGAUUGCGAUGGAGAUGAUGACAACCAUGAAAAGAUCAUUCAUGAGGUUUAGAGCUUCCAAUAAUAAGUUUCUUUUGCAGUCAAUCAUGUAAAAAAGGAAAAAAAAUAAUCUCCAUUGUUGGAAAAGUGAGAUACAAGAAUCCGGUUUCAUAUAAUGCAGACCAUUCUGUUAUUAAAAAAAACACACACACCAGCCACUUGCUGACCGCAUGGCCAUGAAGCUAGGGAGGAAGCAAGGCUCACAGUGGUAUCAAUAUGAUGUACCAGCCAGAGGAGUCUCAUAAGGAUUUGUACUUAUCAGAGCUACAUCUGUUUUAGAUGUCAAUUUAUCUAAUUUUCAUGAACAUGAACCUUGAUUUGCUGCUGUACUAUUUUAAUUUAAAAAAAACGGAAAUUUCAUGAAAUGCCCUC